Molecule: long non-coding RNA, 10497 nt
Organism: Hirundo rustica (Barn swallow)
Lineage: Eukaryota; Metazoa; Chordata; Aves; Passeriformes; Hirundinidae
Exons: 7
Source: RefSeq, a predicted model, not a curated record
CUUUCGCGCGGCAUCGCCGCGGCGUGCCUCGGCUCAGCCCCUUUAACUUUAUUUCGGGCUUUUGCGGGUUCGGGGGUUUCGUGACCACACGUACCCCGGCGCUGUAACACGACCUCCGUGCUGUGCCACGAACAGGUAACAGAGCCGAGCACGGGGACCUGUUUAUUUCCCGCUGAAUGGAGCUACCGGCCAGCGGAGCGGGGACUCGAGUCCGUCUCCCGGUGAAAAUGGCCAAAAGACGCUCGAACAAGCGAAGGGACGGAGAGAUAAAAUAGAAAAUAUGUUAACGUAAGACAGAUAAAUGCCCGGCCGGACCAUUCCUCCUCUGCGAACACACGCGACCGUGAGCGCUCACAUCCCAGCCGGUCACAAAGCACGGCCGCGGGGACGCAGACCUGGGCACAACUCUGUAAGGCAUUAAUUGCCCCUCACCUCCUCACACACACUUUUUCAUGUUGCCACAUGCCCGCACACUUCUGCCGCAGAAAUAAUACAUGUGGCUAAAGCCGCAGGUGCGGAGAUGGUUGGAAAGUUGUAAAAAGCACCUCGACUUGAGGAGUGUCCUGCCUGGAAACCUGGUGUGUUCAGACCCCACGGCCGAAGAUGUUUUUGCGACUCAGUUUCAAAGACAAGGCUGCAGCGUUCCCAUUGAUCCUCACAGAGCAAAAAAAUAACCUUUACCCGAAACAGUGACCAGGAGGGACUGGGAAGACAGAAAGCGGGAAAGGAAUCUUUCCUGGUUAAAAUGUGGGGAACUGCCUUAUGAUUUCCAAACAACCCAGAGCUGAGGAGGUCACCUUUCGGGGAGGGUAGGGGAAGGUGGGGGUUCGAAAUGCAGAAUAGUCACAGAUGGUUGCUGAUGUUGAAUUUCCUGAGGAAAAAAAUAAAAACCAAAACCCAAACCACAACCCAACACCAACCUUUCCUGUCUCGAAUCUGACAAAGUAAACAGUAUUAAUUCACCAUAUGAAAAAACAUGCGAGCCGUCCUAAGAAAUGCAGAAAUCAGAAGAGAAAGCGGUUUUAACAGGACGCACCAUAUUAAUAGUUUGAAUGUAUGAGCGUAAAAAUGAAAAACCAUUGAUAUACGCUUAAAAGCCACCGUAUACGCUGAUUGCUCAAGCAUUAAUGAAGAAUGCCUGAGAUUAACUAUUUGCUCUUCGAGGGAUGCAGCGAUAUAACUAUCUAUUAGCACCAUUAGAUGCUUUGCUAUUUAUUUGAAAACACCCCUGCGAGUGGGUUGAGACAGAAGAGAUGAAUGUAAAAAUGAACUGCAGCUAAUUUCGCUAAAUAAUCCUCGAAACCUGAGCGCCUCGCAAGGAAGGGGGAGAUUCUCCGCUGUCCUUCUCCGAGGCUAAUGACAAUAGAAAUGCUCUGGUUUAAAAGUGAGACCGUGUUGGUUUUCCAAAUAAACAAACGCAUCCCUCCUGCCAUUUUACUGCAGAUGUAAAUUUAUUUUAAUGAGAGGGAGUGGAAGGAUUUAUUUUGCUAAAAUUGAGUUGAGGAUAGAGCCGGUGUAAAUCUUUAGGUUUCAAAAAGAGAGGAGGAAGGAGGGGGAAGCUGCUUUCCUGGCAGAAAGCUGCCUAACAGUCCUCUAAUUCUUUCUAGAUUAAAUCGCAAUAUGAAUACAGCAUCGAACAAAUACCGAGUUUCGCUCUGAACUCAGUGGAAAGCAGUUACGUCUAACAGAAUUCAAUGAAUUCCUCUUCUCCCUCAAUGUAGUAUGUGUGUGUUUUUCUCUUCCACCACACUGAAGUUCCAUGAAUAGGGAAAGUGGCUCCUAUUGUGUGCCUCUGAACUUCCAAGUCAAUGCAAUUUUUAACCACUGGCUUGUGGUACUUUGAAAAUCACCAGGGGCUGUCAGAGUUGGGUCCUCUGAAAAAUUUACAGUGCUAAAUCAGAGCAUAUGCUGUGAGAGAGGAAAAAAAAUUGCUUAAGAUUGGAGCAAGUACAGUAUCUGGCUGCCCCCUAGUGUAAGUCUCUUAUCUGCCUAAAAUUCAACUUUAAAAGAAAAGGAUCUCUUAAAGGGAAACGACUUUUGGCUCACGUAUGCAUACGAGAAUGAAACUUCUGUACAUUUUAAUCUGAUUAAUUCCUAAGGAUUUAAAAUUAAUUGGCUUGGGCACUCCUAGACCGGACUAUAAGAUUUCUGCAGCAGGGUUUCUGCGAGAGCUGUGCCGAAUAGAGCAAAACACUUCUGCUACUUAAAGUCAGAUCUACGUCCUUUACAAUAAUACUUAAAAAAAGAGGAUAAAUAAUUGCCUUAAAGCCUCAGCGGAACUGCCAACCACACCUUCGGAUGUUAGAAGGCAGAAAUAUGUGAACUGCGGAGAGAGGCGGGUACUUUUUGGAAUUUGGAAGAUGCCCAUGUCUAAGACAAUGGUGAGAAUUGGGCCAAAAUCCAGAUCCAGCCUUGAUUCCUUCAUCCAAGUAAGCCUGUGUUGACCCACGACUGCUGAUGGAUCGCAGGGAUGUGGAACCUCCUCUCUCCUUGCUGCCCUGCAUCAGAUCACCAGGAGGACCUGAGAGUACUGGAUGAACCAUCACAAGACCGUGAUUGAAAAGCGUGGGGACCAAGCACUCAGGGAGGUGGCUGAUGAAGCUGAUUCCCUGGCCCCGGGCUGUGGGUCAGCUCUUGGACAUGACACAGGCCCCCAGAGGCCAGAGAAACAUUGUGGGGACUGUUUCUGUCUUGGCUACUCCUCAUCAGUGCUUCGAGAACCGAGGCAACACGAGCACACCACCAGGGAUUUGCUCCUUUCAUGGUCUACACCUGAAGCACAGCACAAAGUUCCAUCCUUUUCUUCUGCAGGUAGGAGCUCAAUCUAAUUUACAUAUUUAGUUUUAGUUAGAGACGAGGCAUUAGUCCUAAAAUAACUCAUGCAAAUGGUCACCUCUUCUAGAACUGAUGUUGUUUCAUCAUUUUCUCUCCAUUUUCUGGAUGAAGCAGCCAGCGCGAGAAGGGCAUGUUGGCACAUACUCCACUUGAUAGCUGAAGAGAACAAACUGACAAAUAUUUUUAAUAUGCUACAGCUUAUCAACAUCCCAGUGAAUAAAGGGCAAAUGAGAUUUUCCACUGGUUAUUCAUAGAUCCACACGGAGAUGCUGACAAACUGCCAUUUAGUGCAGACACGGGGCAGAAAUAAAUCACCAGAUAAAAUACAAUAUUCCUAGAGAAAUCUUUUGUGGAAUGUGUUCUUGCCCCAGACCCCUCCUGGAACAGGCACAGUAAUGCUCCCUGAGACCUGGCAGCCCUUCUGAGUGAGCAUAUGGUCUGCUCAGCUCUCGCAGUACUGGUGCACGGUGAGUAAACACGCUGUACUGUCAGAGAAAACAGGGGGCUCUUUAAUAGCACGAAAUUCUGUGCCUGCUUCAAACUCCAUCACUGCUCCAGAAAUGGAUUUUCCUUCUCUGCUGGAGCGUGCACUGUUUGCAGGAGGGGCAGGAAAAAAAGAGAGAGAGUCUCCUCUGAUGGUCUGUAACCAUCUCCCAUAAAGUUGGUAAUGCUGGGGAAGGGUCUUGAUGUGUCAGAAUUUGCAUUUUCUGGUGAUGCUACAUCACCUUCUCCAUUCUUUUGAGAUGUCCCCUGGUGCAUUGUAACUUGCUCAGUAAUUGGAAUAGAAAGAGGGACCCGAAGGUAAAAAUCCCGAUGUUAAUCAAGGCUGGCAAAGGGCAGAACAUUAGCUGCAGUAAUUGUUUUUCUGAGGGAGUCAAGAAAGCCGGGCUCGUCUGCACUAGCAAACAGAUCUGGUCCUGCCUCUGUGCUCCUCACACUGGCAGAACAUUGCCCUGAAAUCACUGGAGCAGGGAUCGGGCCAGGAAUGAGCAGCUAAGUUGCAAAGCAAAUUAAUUCCUGCCAAAAAAGUUCAGCUAUGCUCAGAAGUAUGUAAAGUGUCUGAUUUGAGAAGUGUCAAGUAGCAUUUGUGACCAAUUAUCCAAGAUGAAGGGGGCAGAGCUAUGUUUACAUGUACUAAUCUUCAGCCAAAGUUUGAAAACUCUAAUUCAUGGACACGCAUCAAAUUUCCUUUCCAGGCUUGGCAUUUGCCUGUACGCACGCAUGCACAUUGCUCGGGGAUGACAAGAAAACAUGAUUACAACUUGCAAAUAAUACAAAUUAAAAAAAAAAAAAAAAAGAAAAAGAAAAAAGAAAACAAGAGGAGCUGCCAUGCAGUAGCAGCGUGGUAAUUAAACCUAUACUGUGAUAUGCAAAAAAGAAUCAUGGACCACUGUAUGAGUAAAAUAGAUUUAUCAGCUGUGCUGAAAUAUGAUGUGUGAUGUGUCUGUAUUGUUAUUUUUCCACAACCUGUGAAACCUUGGGAAACGAUCUACACAAAGGAACGAGGAGUAAAAGCUGCCUCGGCCAUCUUCUGUUUAAUUAACAUAGGUAUACCAAUUUAAUGCAAUUAAUCAAGAUAGGAGGGAUUAAACAGUAACUCAGCUGACAACGACAGUGUUAGCUUUGCUGUGGCAUAAGAAGGGCUGCAAAAUGAGAGUGGUGACUGGAACACUGUGAGGGUGAACAAGCUGGCUGCAGUUUUGGGAGGUUUAUGCAGAUGUACUGAAAUUGAAGGGCAGCUGAUUUUUCAUGUGGCCAAGUGUUUAUCUGCCCCUGCCCUUUCCUUUACCCUCUCAGACCUUCCAGGGUAAUCCCCAGAGUGGCAACAACUUUUAAAGUGAUUCCUCUUUCUUCUAACAGAUUCCUGAUGCUAAAGGUCUGACCUUAAAAUGAGCAGUGCAUAGGGCAAGAGUGGGUACUGCAGUGAGCUUCUGGCCUUCAACCCUUCCAAAUACAGCUAUUUUGGUAUAUUCAUGAUGGGUGAGGGAACAGAGCCUUCCAGUGCAGGGCUUCUCAGCACAUUAACUCUAUCAGUGCUGGAUUCUGGGUCCCUAUGCAAGUUGCCCAUGUCUGUUUAAGACCAUAAAUGCAAGUUUAUAGAAGUCUGCAGCAUUCUGUAACUUCAUGGUUGUGCUUUAGUGCCUGAUGCAUCUGAAAACUGGACUGAGUCCUGUGGAUAUCCGUGUGGAUCUGGGAAGGACUGCUGUCAUAUGCGGCUGAGAGUAGUUCAGACUGGGAUUUCUUGUUGGCAGGAGAGGCACAGCCUGGUUUGCUACAAUGCAACUGUCCUCAUUAAUGUUCUUCAAGCUCUGCUGUACCAGGACCGCCAUGGUUGGGUCAGAAGAUGGCUGAGUUUUCGAGGCUCAUUCUCUUGUCUUCAGAAUGUUAAAUUGGGUGAUAAUGAGUAGUAACUGUGUCCUUUUUUUAUGGUGAAGUUGACACUUGCCUUCUAGUAAACAGACACAGAGAUGACCCUCCUCAUUUCGCACAGGUCACCAAACAGCCCCGGAAUGGUAGGGGUUAUUGGCCAUUUACCAAACUCUGUUUGACUUGGGUUCAUGGGUGAGAGAUGAAAGGCUCUAUAUUGCAUUACCAAUCCCUGGGGCCAGCCAGUCUCCCUAAAGAAGCAUUUCAUUUAGCAAGGCAACUGCUGGCCCAUGGGAAUUGGAGACUUGGGAAAAAGAGGACACAGUUUCAAUUGCAAAUCUUUCCUUAGGGCAGAUGUCUUAAAGCCACACAGAAACUCGCUGCUUCAGUGUCACAGUAGUUGCUCCAGGACACUUAAGGGACAGCAGAUUUUCCCCUUUAAUUAAUCUCCCCUUUUUCCCAAGAAAGCAUCCACUAGGUCACUCGUGGUGUUUCUGCCUCUGCCCCUCUGUUUUGUUCGUCCCCUUGGGGCAAGACCAUUGCAGCCGUUGUGAAACGUUACCUUUUCCAAGAGCUUCAAAAUUGAAACAGAUGAAGCAAGUAGCCUGGUAUCACACUUAGAGGUGCUGGACUCUUUGGAGGAGAAAUGAGUACUCCUGAAGUAUCCAAAUAUUUUCCUUCCCCUAGAGCAAAGAUGCUGACUGAUUUUCUUUGUUAUGGUAGGGUGGUCAUUGCUAUUGGGGUAGUCCAAGUGCUUUCUUUUUACAGAUUAUGGAUGCAGUGAAUUAUGGCUACAGUAAGAAGAAUACAGACCAAGAAUUUGACCCAGACUUGUCCUGAAUUUCCUAUGAUCUGAAAAUCCAAUGUUGUUCCAAAUUCAUUAUCACUGAUUAAAAUCCUCUUUCAGUUCCCUCCCUUACUGUUUGUGAUGUGAGUCAUGAGACAUUCAGAAGUUGCAUUUGUUGUUUAAUAGUUUUACAUCAUGGUUGCAAUAGUGCAUCUGCCAAGCCAGCAGUUUUUUGGUUGGUUCCCCCCCCCCCCCCCGUGUUUGUUUAUUUAUUUACCGCUCCAUUUCCAGCAAGUUCUUGUUACCCAGUUCCCGCUGACAACAGAGGAAGAGGCACAAGUGAGCUCAGAAAAUAAACGACUAGAAGGUAAGUGAAAAGAAUAGUAAAUGCAGGCCAUUCAUGUAACAGGAUCCAAUUCAUUUUUAUGCCAGGGAGAUUUUUUAAAUGGGACUUCUCCCAGUGGAGAGCUCACAAUGCUCAAGGCCUGCUUCACUAUAAAGAAAAUGCAUAAUUAUUCUGGGCUUAUUAUUAUUUUUUAUCACUCCUUUUCCAGUUGCAGGGAGUGAGGGCAGAGAUGAGAUCAGGACUCAGUUUUUUGCUGUGCAGGCUGUGCAGAGCACGAGGCUCCAGGACCCUGUGGAGGCAGGUAAAUGCAUCCAGGCUGAGGGUUCAGGUGAUAGGUCUGAGAUGGGAGAAUCCAUCAGCAGCAAAAAUGGGGACUCAGCCUCCUGAGGCCUUCAGUUCUGAGCUCCUGCUGCUUGAUGCUUUCAGCAUCUUUUUUUUUCACACUUUUUUGAAUCACCGAAACGAUGAAUUGAAAAAAUGCCAUGUCAUUUGAAGUAUUCUUCAUUGUAUUUACAGGAAACAGAUUAUCUCUUCUCUCAGGAUAGUGGAAACUGAGUAUGAUGAACUCAUCUGGAGAAAAUGUAGGUUGGGUGUGACAGAGAAACUCGUGUUUUAUAUGGCAGUGACAUCUUAAUUUUUGGUUUUGGUAUGACAGACUCAGUGAUACUGAACAAUCCUGGUUCCUGCUUUCAGGCUGGGGUCACAAGCUGGAUUUGGAGGAAGAAACUUCCAUGCAGAGAUGUGACUGCAGUGUGAAUAAUAUGCCAAGGUGCUCCUCAGCUCUGCCUUGAGGUGACACCGUUAAGCAAGAGAUAAAACAAAUGGCCAGUUUUAGCCUAAUCAUCACUUCUGCCUGAGAAAAGAGAAACUCUUUGAGGUAAGUUCCCCUGGAUAUAAUUCUUUCUUUCUAGGUUAAAGAAGGGCUGAAGCUAAUACAUAUCCUGAGUCAUAAUGUGGAUUUGCGCCUUUCCUGUUAAAUAUAGCUGGUUUAUGUCCAAAGGAUCCCUUCUCUCCCUAAUGCUCACUCAUAUUGUUACAACUUCUGCAUUAGUUGCAGGUGUGAAAUGCCAACUGAUCCACACUUCUCAUGCUGUCAGCAGGAAAGUAAUGUGUGUCAAAGGCCUGGUUCUCAGAGGGGAGGUCACCUGGAUCUCCCCUUGCACAUCUGCUUUGCUAAACACAAAACUCUGGGGGUUUGAAAAGCUCCAAUGUGCACAAAAUGGGAUGUGAUCACUGGGGGCCAUACAGAAGGAACUGCUUGUGCCUGUUAUUUAGUAGUCAGGACACAAAAUUUCCCCUCUGUACAAAAUUCUUCCUGGAUUACCACAGGUGACAUAUUACUUGGAAGCUCUAUGUUAAUAAGGAGAAAAAUUACACUUUGCAUUCCAUGAGAGACAGGAUUCCAAGAGUUAAAAAAAAGGCCCUCACACAUUAAGCAGCUUCAGAAAGAUGCUAAUAUUCAGCAUGUCCCUACUUGGAGUGUGCAGACACGAAGAUCAGGAAAGUGCCUGAUCAGAGCUCCUGGAGGGGCCGUGCUGCUGGAGCCUGCCUUACACAGUGGCAUCCUGGUUUGGUUCUGAGGGCUUCCAGAGGAGCUUUCAAACAUUUCUAUUUCCUGCUUUUAGUGGAUUUUUUUCAUACCUUGGAAUAAGUCUUCCGAUGGUAAUGUGUUUGCAGAUGAUGCCUAGAUAAUAGUUCUUGCUCAGGGGACCUCUAAUACACAAUAUUUUAUGCUUUCUACAUUUUAUGUGAGAUCAAAGACGCAUCCUACAUGUACAAAUUUGCCUAAUUCUUUCUUGAUUCCUGCUAGAAUCUAGACUAUCCCUCAGUAUCUGCCAUAAGGAUGUCCACAAGUAACCUAUACAGAAUAUUUUUGGUCUUAAUAUAUUUGGCCUUUUAAUGUCAUGUGUUUAUGACAUCAUGAUUCUGGUUACUCUGCACUAAUAGGACAUUUUAAACAUAUGCAUCCAAGCAUCAUUCACCACUAUGAACUGUAUUUUUCCUCUCUCAGUUGACUAUUUCCAAAUUUUUGGGGGGAUAGUGGAACCAAUAUUGACCUUUUUAUCCAAAAUGAGAAAAUAGGGACUUGGUCACUGGCUGUAUGCUGAUGUUGCAUGGAUGUCACAUCAUGUUACAUGGAAUUUGGACCUUGUAUUGAUGCACUGGGAAGGCUGGCCUGGAGCACGGACCGGACAGAGCUAAGAGAAUAAUGUAGAUAUUUAUUGAAAGACCUUUAAGGGUACACCUUAGGCAGGACAAGAGCCUGGCCAGGGCUACACCAAAAUGGUUGCAAAAUGGAUGCCCAGUCACGAGAUCUCACACUUUUAUAAGCUUUGGUCCUUUUGCAUAUUGUUAAUUGUCCAGUUACAGCUUCAGUUACAGCUCCAUCCUUCUUGUUUUCUCUUUUCAGCCCACCAUUGUUUAUGCUUUUGGUCCUGAAAACUUGUAACCGUUGUCCUUGGUCUUCAGCAGGAAAAGGAUUUGUUUUGUCUCCCUACUCUGUGAAGAGAGUUUACUAACACUUAACACGAGGCUCAAAACUACAUCCCUAGGCAGCACAGAAUCUGAAAUAUAUGAAAGCUAAGACUUAGGCAUCAGUAUCCUCACAGUAACUUAGACAGAAUUAAAGCAAAAUGAUUUCUAAAGCCCAAAGCAUACUGGGGAGAACGAUGAGCUGAACACAUAGGUCAGAGCAGGUUUCAUGAGCACCUGAGAUUCCAGCCCUGAGCCUCUGCUGCUCACGAUGGACAUCCCCUUAAAGAAGCUGUAAAAAUAAUUUUCAUGAGAAUCAGAAGAGAUUCACUUUUAAUUUUGAGGAAGGAGAGAAUUUUAAAGAAAAGUUUGAUUCUGGAAAAGACUGUUAGUAAGUUGGAGGAGCUGUGCUGUAGAAGACAGUGGCUGUUUGGCUCUUCAUGGAAGCCUCUGUUGAAUUCAGAGGUGGCCUUUCCCCUGAAAUUUACACCAGAAAUUCAGAAAUUUUAUCUUUGAUCAGAACAGCAUCACUGCCUUCCUGAGUAAUAGGAAUGACAUUGGUUUCCCUGGGUUGUACAUUAUGGACAUGAUAGACCCAUGAAAAGAAAUGGAGACAGGGGUACUGAUUUUCUUGGAAUGAAAUAUAGAAAAUUUGGGCUUGGAAAACAUUUGAGUAUAAUAUGCUGAAAGUUUAAAGAAACGUUUUUAAAGAAACAUUUUCCAAGAGCAUGCCUUUUAGUUUUAUCUUCAUUUUUUGCCAUGUAUAAUUAUGAGAAACACAGACAACUCAUAAGAUUUUUUAGUUUCUGUUGAGAAUUGCCUUUUCCAAGAUAAUUCUGUACACUAUUACUUUAGCCCACUGGGUAUCAUGUAGGGAAGGUGUAAGAUUAUGCACAUGAAUAUUUCUGUCUACCACUUAUGAGUGCUGAGACAAUAUCAACUUAUACUUUCUCCUGUCAUUGGUCCUUAUUCCAUAGAGGAUAUUCUUAAUUACCAGCAAGACAAUUUGGUAAUAUCAUGUAAAGUGUAACAGCAUAAUUUCUGUGAUGAUUUACACCUGCUAAGGAUCUGAACACUGAAUUUUGAAACAUAUUGUAAGUUCAGAAGAAAGAGUAUUUUUUAUACAAGACAAUACUUCUAUUUUUAAUAGAAAUACUCUCAUUUAUUUAAUUUAUUGGCACAGAUCUUCUAAAUGAAAUGGAGCUUUUGAAUAUGAAGACACCAUUUUUACACAUUUUCACUGCCCUUAAAAAUUUAGAGCACACUUCUGUCUGUUUAAAUGGAUUAAAUCAACUUGCGUCUAAAUGCCUAAACACUAUUUUUGACAACUGUGCAUGAGGGACGUGCCUGUACAGGGAUUCUAAAGAAUAAAAAACCUAAAAAUAUCUCAGUUGCAAGGAAAAUUCCCUGUAUUCCUUCGUACACUUCGUAAUAAUGGUUAUAUAUAUAUAUCUUUUUUAACCCUCACAGGUUUAUCCUUAAUUCUGUUGAAAAUUAUUGAAAUUAUUCCGUUGACUUUAAUAAACUCUGUUUCCUACUGGAUUAAAGGUGAUAUUUGUGCCUCAGAUUUGCUGGUGAUAUCCCACUAAUGAAACAGGUAAUUUUAUAAAUAUGUCAGGGAGGGUAAGUGCCCAAUAAAAAGAUGUCAGAUAGAGAUCCACAAAUUACAGUCUAUUUGUAAUUGAAAUAA